This 253-nucleotide ribosomal RNA is filed under the name uncultured bacterium. Its description in RNAcentral is "partial 16S ribosomal RNA". It matches the Rfam family "Bacterial small subunit ribosomal RNA", at positions 524 to 776 of the family's 1533-position model. The record is from RNAcentral.
UACGUAGGGGGCUAGCGUUGUCCGGAAUCCUUGGGCGUAAAGAGCGUGUAGGCGGCCCGGUAAGUCCGCUGUGAAAGUCGGGGGCUCAACCCUCGAAUGCCGGUGGAUACUGUCGGGCUAGAGUGCGGAAGAGGCGAGUGGAAUUCCUGGUGUAGCGGUGAAAUGCGCAGAUAUCAGGAGGAACACCAAUUGCGAAGGCAGCUCGCUGGGACGGUACUGACGCGGAGACGCGAAAGCGUGGGGAGCGAACAGG